UACGGAGGGUGCAAGCGUUAUCCGGAUUUACUGGGUUUAAAGUGUGCGUAGGUGGGUAAGUAAGUCAGUGGUGAAAUCUUCGAGCUUAACUCGGAAACUGCCAUUGAUACUAUUUAUCUUGAAUACUUUGGAGGUAAGCGGAAUAUGUCAUGUAGCGGUGAAAUGCUUAGAUAUGACAUAGAACACCAAUUGCGAAGGCAGCUUACUACACAGUUAUUGACACUGAGGCACGAAAGCGUGGGGAUCAAACAGG
This 253-nucleotide ribosomal RNA is filed under the name uncultured bacterium. RNAcentral describes it as "partial 16S ribosomal RNA". It matches the Rfam family "Bacterial small subunit ribosomal RNA", at positions 524 to 776 of the family's 1533-position model. The record is from RNAcentral.